CAGUCGCCGCGGGAAUACGGAGGGUGCAAGCGUUACUCGGAAUCACUGGGCGUAAAGGACGCGUAGGCGGAUUAUCAAGUCUCUUGUGAAAUCUAACGGCUUAACCGUUAAACUGCUUGGGAAACUGAUAAUCUAGAGUAAGGGAGAGGCAGAUGGAAUUCUUGGUGUAGGGGUAAAAUCCGUAGAUAUCAAGAAGAAUACCUAUUGCGAAGGCGAUCUGCUGGAACUUAACUGACGCUAACGCGUGAAAGCGUGGGGAGCAAACAGGAUUAGAGACCCCGGUAGUCCCUGUCUCUUAUAC
This 301-nucleotide ribosomal RNA is filed under the name uncultured bacterium. RNAcentral describes it as "partial 16S ribosomal RNA". It matches the Rfam family "Bacterial small subunit ribosomal RNA", at positions 509 to 807 of the family's 1533-position model. The record is from RNAcentral.